This 547-nucleotide long non-coding RNA is filed under the name Rattus norvegicus (Norway rat). RNAcentral's name for it is "long non-coding RNA NONRATT030476". Lineage: Eukaryota; Metazoa; Chordata; Mammalia; Rodentia; Muridae. The record is from RNAcentral.
CAGGUGGGCACUCCUGAGGCUGCAGAGCGGAAGAGACCACCAACACUGCCCACCCCUGCCCACAUCCCUGGCCCAAGAGGAAACUGUAUACGGCCUCUGGGUAGCAGCAGUCUGAGACACCGCCAGAACCGGAAGGGACCGACCGGAUAAACAGUUCUCUGCACCCAAAUCCUGUGGGAGGGAGAGCUAAACCUUCAGAGAGGCAGACAUGCCUGGGAAACCAGAAGAGACUGCACUCUGCACACAUUACUGACGCCAGAGGAAAACACCAAACGCCAUCUGGAACCCUGGUGCACGGAGGCUCCCGGAAAGAGCGGCGCAGAUCUUCUCGGUUGCUGCCGCCGCGGAGAGGACUUAGGCAGUACCCCACGAGCACACUUGAGCCUCGGAACCUCAGGUAGGACCAACUUUUCCCCUGCAAGUGACCUGCCUGGUGAACUCAAGACACAGGCCCACAGGAACAGCUGAAGACCUGUAGAUAGGAAAAACUACAUGCCCGAAAGCAGAACACUCUGUUCCCAUAACUGGCUGAAAGAAAACAGGAAAA